GGCGCGCAGGGUGCGUAUCACCGAGCGCAUGGUACGAGCCGCCGGCUCCAGUGAUUAAUUAUCAGAGGCCGGUGGCCUCGCACUAACACUUCAGCUUUCCCGGCAGAGUCAGCACACCCAGCCGCCGCCAGCGCGGCCCGGACCGAGGAGCGGCUCUGGGGAGGACGCCGAGGCUGCGCCCGAGAGGGAAAGAAUGAAUCUAUCCAUAGGCAAAGGGAAUGAAGCCAGCAGAAAAAAGGAUAUUGAAAAUCUAAGCCAGAGGGAAAAUGAUAUAAAAGGGUCCUAGAAGAGAAUGUGAUCAAGAACACACAUGAAAGGGGUGCCCCUGAAGGGAGAAGAAAAAAGUUUUUCUCAAAAACCAAAGAUUUCUCUAGUCCUAGCAACCUUGGAGACAGCUCAGGGAAAUGAAAAUUGGUGGAAAACAUUUUGAACACACCCUGAAUCAGAGCAGAUGACAACCAAUGGUGGGUACCUGACAUCUCCAAAGAA
Molecule: long non-coding RNA, 489 nt
Organism: Rhinolophus ferrumequinum (greater horseshoe bat)
Lineage: Eukaryota; Metazoa; Chordata; Mammalia; Chiroptera; Rhinolophidae
Exons: 3
Source: RefSeq, a predicted model, not a curated record